GGAGGAGGAGGUGCAGGGGGGAUACGCGCCUACGUGCGUCCGCCUGGUGAACUGAUGCAGGCGGCGACAGCUGGACGGAGCGCAGAGACGUCGACCUGCAGCCCGCUGCACGAGAGGAUGAUGUAGAGAGCUCACCGAUGUCUGCUGUCUUUGUGCCAGUGACCCCGUUGGCUCCUCCUGCACCUCCUGCUCCUCCUGCUCCUCCUGCUCCUCCUGCUCCGUCAGUCUGUCGUAGAGAGAGACAGAUGGACAGUGAGGACAUCAUGUAAACACAGUAUUCACCUUAUUAUCAACCAAAAUAGAGACUGGUGCAGUCUGUAGUCCUGAAACACAGGAAGCAGUUUGCAAUUUAGCACAAAGUCUGUGAGUUUGUUGAAUUGAUUGUUGGUUAUAUGACUGAAAUAAGGUCUUCUAAGUUUUGUUCUUUGAUAUAAAAUACAUCAUUAAAUGUCCCGCAGUUUAA
Long non-coding RNA from Acanthopagrus latus (yellowfin seabream), 463 nucleotides. RefSeq lists it as uncharacterized. The transcript is spliced from 2 exons. The record is from RefSeq and is a predicted model, not a curated record. NCBI's taxonomy places the organism in Eukaryota, Metazoa, Chordata, Actinopteri, Spariformes, Sparidae.